This 106-nucleotide Y RNA is filed under the name Propithecus coquereli (Coquerel's sifaka). RNAcentral describes it as "Y RNA (ENSPCOG00000004811.1)". It matches the Rfam family "Y RNA". From Rfam's summary of the family: Y RNAs are components of the Ro ribonucleoprotein particle (Ro RNP), in association with Ro60 and La proteins. The record is from Rfam by way of RNAcentral. Lineage: Eukaryota; Metazoa; Chordata; Mammalia; Primates; Indriidae.
GGCUGGUCCAAUGAUAAUGGGUUAUUAGAACUUAUUAACAUUUACAUUAGUGUCACUAAAGCUGGUUGGUAUACAACCCCUCACUGCUAAAUCUGACUGGCUUAAA